Molecule: ribosomal RNA, 460 nt
Filed under: uncultured bacterium
Lineage: Bacteria
Description: partial 16S ribosomal RNA
Rfam family: Bacterial small subunit ribosomal RNA
Source: RNAcentral
CCUACGGGUGGCAGCAGUGAGGAAUAUUGGUCAAUGGGCGGGAGCCUGAACCAGCCAAGUCGCGUGAGGGAAGACGGUCCUAUGGAUUGUAAACCUCUUUAGGCGGGGAGCAAUGCCGGGCACGUGUGCCCGGAGGGAGAGUACCCGCAGAAUAAGCAUCGGCUAACUCAGUGCCAGCAGCCGCGGUAAUACGGAGGAUGAGAGCGUUAUCCGGAUUAAUUGGGUUUAUAGGCUGCGUAGGCGGAUUUUUAAGUCAGCGGUAAAAUGUGCGGGCUCAACCAGAGCCGGCAGUUGAAACUGGAGAUCUUGAGUGGGCGAGAAGUAAGCGGAAUGCGUGGUGUAGCGGUGAAAUGCGUAGAUAUCACGCAGAACUCCAGUUGCGAAGGCAGAAUGCCGGCGCCUGACUGACGCUGAGGCACGAAAGCGUGGGGAUCGAACAGGAUUAGAUACCCGGGUAGUC